UAGGGAAUCUUCGGCAAUGGGGGGAACCCUGACCGAGCAACGCCGCGUGAGUGAAGAAGGUUUUCGGAUCGUAAAGCUCUGUUGUUAAGGAAGAACGAGUGUGAGAAUGGAAAGUUCAUACUGUGACGGUACUUAACCAGAAAGGGACGGCUAACUACGUGCCAGCAGCCGCGGUAAUACGUAGGUCCCGAGCGUUGUCCGGAUUUAUUGGGCGUAAAGCGAGCGCAGGCGGUUAGAUAAGUCUGAAGUUAAAGGCAGUGGCUCAACCAUUGUAGGCUUUGGAAACUGUUUAACUUGAGUGCAGAAGGGGAGGGUGGAAUUCCAUGUGUAGCGGUGAAAUGCGUAGAUAUAUGGAGAAACACCGGUGGCGAAAGCGGCUCUCUGGUCUGUAACUGACGCUGAGGCUCGAAAGCGUGGGGAGCGAACAGG
Molecule: ribosomal RNA, 429 nt
Filed under: Bacteroidota bacterium
Lineage: Bacteria; Pseudomonadati; Bacteroidota
Description: Bacteroidetes bacterium partial 16S ribosomal RNA
Rfam family: Bacterial small subunit ribosomal RNA
Source: RNAcentral